UUCAGAUUUCAUAAAUAAAAAGAAAAUUUCUCAAACAUUUUUUUGAGAGGAUUAAUAUUCAACAGCAUAGUGAAUUGCUCAAAGGCAAAAAAAAAUUUUUAAGUUCAUUAGACCACAUUCAUUCUGUGUCAGAAAGCUAUGCUGUGUCAACUAUUUAAUCACAAUCCAAAUUUAGAGCUGAAUCCAGCUUGAAUGUUGUGUCCAUACUUGCCCCAACCGUUCAGGGUUCAACCUCUGCGGUCGUAUAAAGCUGCGCCCUGCGGAGCAUCUGGUUUCAA
RNAcentral lists this long non-coding RNA (278 nucleotides) under Mytilus galloprovincialis (Mediterranean mussel). The record is from RNAcentral. Lineage: Eukaryota; Metazoa; Mollusca; Bivalvia; Mytilida; Mytilidae.